AACAUAAAACUACUAGAUAAGCAAAAAAUUCACCAAUUAUGAAUUCUGCAUAAUAUAAACAAGAUUUUAGCAUAAUGUAUACUUCCAUCAGUUGAAUACAACUUGAACUGCUUAAUGUCAGCGGGCCCGGCUCCCUCAACCCCAGCCAAAAAUUUCUCUCUUUUGUUUCUAAAAUAUACUAUUAAUUCUCAAGUUCCACAUUAAUUUUCUAUGCGAAAUUUUACUUGACUAUGUUCAGAGUCCUCUCAACUAUUAGAUGUUAAAGUCACUUUUCUAAUUCCAAAAUGGAAUAUCAUCCGCCUUACCUCCUUGGCCAUGUCCAUGAGGCUUGAUCCCAGAAGAUCGAACAUAAUACCAAUUGGGAUAUGAGAAGUAGGGAUCCCAGUUGGGAGAGCUGGAAUGAGGAGCACUAUCAUCCCUCCAAACACAAGUUCCUUAGCUCUCGCACUCAAAAAGAUCUCCAUGUCAUGCUCAAAUUGAGCUGCAUAAGCAUGGCUUACUUCUUCUGGGCCACUUGUGUAGUGAAUCCUUCCCCUGUUCCAUGCAGGGGAGUUUUUGUCCAACAACUCUUCAGGCACCUUUGAGAGCCAGUGGAGUGCAUGAGAGGAAAACAUGAAAUGGAUAGAUGACUCCGGGAAUAACCGGCCAUGGAAAGAACCCGGGACGCCACAGGCAAAGUACCGCCUUUCAGUUGGGAGGGAUGCAAAUAGGGUAUUGAAAUCAUUGGCCACAUGAUCAUUAAAGAAGACUUGAAAUUCGGGCAUUUCAGAUUUGAGACCUUGCGCCAGGUACUUCCUUUCUACAGCUUCCACUAUAUGUUGCAUUGCUAUGAAGGUAUUUGGCCCAACUGAACAUCCCAAAUCUGCAAGACGAAACGGGUUUGAAGAGAAGCACUUUACAUCAAGCUUCUUAGCAAUUGCCUCUUCAAUCGUAAUCCUCGACGCAUUUGUAGCUUGUCUCUACAAAACGUAUAGUCCACCAUGUGUCUGUCAUUACUUAAUGUCAGGGGUGAUAUUCCCAUAAAACAAGCAAUUUUUAAGAGGCGUAUGUUCAACCAUAAUUGAAGUGGAAUAAGGGACAAAGAAGAAACCCAGGCAUGUAUGCACUGAAGGGGUAGUUGUGUUUGUUCCUCAAACUUGAAUCAGGUCAUCCAUGAAAUAUGUGAGGUAGAGAAAAUAUAUGAAGGGAUAACAAGAAGUAUAAAAACAGUCAAAAUACCUGUAAAUGGGAGUUGUUGAGGUAGCUGUGAGGUCCAUCCCCUCCGUUCAUCGGAAAAGAUUGUUGCAUAGUGGCUGUGUUGUUGUUGCUCAUCUCUCACUGCCUAAGUGAGCCAUUUACUUCUGAUGGACUCUCCAUAAAGACAAUGGUGAGGGAGGGUCUCAUGGACUUUUUUCCCUCAUUGACAAUGGCCUCUGACUAGGUCUAGCCGGCCAUCUGUAUUGGCUCAUUAUGCCAUUGAUGUUUUGUCCUUCAUACCAUUUUUUAAUCUUCUUUAAAACUUUUAAUUAUUUUUUUAUAAAUCUUAUUGACUAGCCAACAAAUUUAGUUUUGCAAGCACUACUUUGACUGAGAAUUGUGACGUGUGAUCCACCCAUCAUUCAUUCAGAGCACAUGGAACAUUAUCCUUUUCACAUUUUGAUUAAAUUAUAGUUGUAGAGGCAUGAGGUUACAUCUUAACACCUCAUCUAAGGGCAUCCCAACAAUAUCAGUUAGGGUAGAAGAGUCCAUUUGGAAUCAAAGAAGGUAGAGUCAUUCCUGACAUAUCAACUCAUUAUUCAUUGAAGAAGGUAGAGUCAUUCAUGACGUAUCACCUCAUUAUUUAUUGAAGAAGUUUUGCUUCUUCAACUAAAUAUUUAUAAAUCUAGUAGGAACAAAAAGUCAAAAGAGGGGCAAAGUAAUGACUUCACUCGGAGAUAAUAUGCAACAAUACAAAAUCAAAUCUAAAGUUACAAAAGCAACAUAUAAAUGAUCAAUCUUGAACCAUUUGUCUAUCUCUUCUAUUCCGGAUUCCUUUAAUUUAUGAGCCUCGACAUCCUUUUGGAUUUGAAUAGAAAACAAAAACAAAGACACAAAGUUAGAAGGGAAAAAAAAUAUAUAUUGUCAAGUUAUUUAUAAGUGAAAUGAAUUUAAAGUCGGAUAUAAAAUAAUUUAUUGAUUUAAUUUUUUUUUCCUUAAUUUUCUUCACUCAUGCUUUUUUUUCUUUGUUUUUGUUCCUUCGCAUUUUCCUUCAAAUUUUCUCUCAUCCUAACAUAACCUAAAACAUUUAUGUAUGCAGAACCGAAUAAUAAGAGAUGACUGAACCCCUACACGACUCUUAAACCCUAAGACCCCAAUUACCAGACUCAACAACCAACAACCAUACUUCAAUCUUGAUCCUAGUUCAUAAAAGCAGUAUAUAAUGAAACAACCCAUUCCCAUGUGAGAGGAAAAAUAUCAUUCAUGUGGGAUCCAUCAUCCAUGCUGUGUUUAUGGCAAACUGAUCCACAUCAACAAGGAUAAAAAGUGUAUUAGAAGGUCUCUACAUCUGUCAUCGCUGGAUUAACACAAAUUCAGUCAUGGGUUGCAUUUGGGUUAAGGAAUUUGCCAUCCUAUGUGUUUUCUCCCUCCAACAUGUCCCCCCAUCCUUGCAAGCCUGACGCAUUGGAAAAGGAGUUCAGUUCUUUCUUUUAAGUGAAGUAUGGCUAUAUGUUCAUAGGAACAUACCCCUACACCUUAGCACUUUACGACUGUGUUUAGUAUCACGCUAUUUCCUGCAAGUUGUGUUUUUGGAUUUCAUGAAUAUGUGGAGGGCAUUUCCAAAGCCCAGAGGACAACUUAUCAUCUAUUUCCACAGCCACAAGUUUUUCUUCUGAUUAUCCGUGAGCAUAUCCAUAACCAUUCACAUAUGUUAACCAAGACAAUUAUUGUAAAUAUAUAGAGUUGAUACCCAAAUCUGGGUCAUUAUUUAUGAUCCACUGGAUCUUCACGACAAUAUAUAUUGAUAUCCUGAAACUAGUCUCAGAGAAGGGACUAAGAAAACUAGCAGGAAAAAUAGUUUAUGAUCAUAUUCAAACAGUAUCAUUUACGCCUCAGAACAACAAACAAUAGAGUUCCUUCUUUGUUGCCUGAUUCCAGCUGGUGGGAGGACUCCAUAAUUUGCUUGGAAAGCCUAUCAAACAGUUGAUCAAUAAUCCCACUUCCAAAAUGUUGGGUAAAAAUUCCCUCCAGGCCAGCUCUAAGGCACAUUGCACAUUCCUUUCCAUUGAUCGGGCCAACAAGUUUUGAUCUAGAGUCCACUAACUCCAUUCUCUCAAUGGUUAAACACUCAUUUCUGUCCACCAUCUCUGUCAUUUGCUCGGGAGAGGCUACAUGAAUAGGCAAGUUGAAGGAAUCCACUUGAGCUUCACUAAUUAAUCCCUGCAUUCAACAUUGGCAAUGUUGGCAUCAUCUCUUGAAUUUGAUUCGGGCUUGUCUGUAAAACAACAUAAAACUACCAGACAAGCAAAAAUUCAACAAUUAUAAUUAUAGUUUGUUUUUUUUCCCCUCUCUGCCCUAAUACUGGACUUCAUGUAUUAGGUUCCAUGAGGGUAUAUUGGUCAUUUUACAUGAUUAGCCUAGUGUUUCCUACGACCCAACCUGAAUUGGGCCAUGGGAUGAGCAUAUGCCUAGGGUAAGUGUGCCAGGCUCCCUCAGCCCCAACAAAAAAUUUUCCUGUUUUAUUUCUAAAAUAUACUAAUAUUUCCCAAGUUCCACAUUAAUUUUCUAUGCGGAAUGUUACUUAGCUAUGAUCAGAGCCCUCUCAACUAUUAGAUAUUAAAGUCACUUUUCUAAUUCCAAAAUAGAAUUUCAUCCGCCUUACCUCCUUGGCCAUAUCCAUGAGGCUUGCUCCCAAAAGAUCGAACAUAACACAAUAUGGGUUUUGAGAAGCAGGGAUCCCAUUUGGGAGAGCUGGAAUGAGAAACACUAUCAUCCCUCCAACCACAAGUUCCUUAGCUCUGGCACUCAGAAAGAUCUCCAUGUCACGCUCAAAUUGAGCCGCAUAAGCAUGGCUUACUUCUUCUGGGCCACUUGUGUAGUGAAUCCUUCCCCUGUUCCAUGCAGGGGAGUUUUUGUCCAACAACUCUUCAGGGACCUUUGAGAGCCAGUGGAGUGCAUGAGAGGAAAACAUGAAAUGGAUAGAUGACUCCGGGAAUAACCGGCCAUGGAAAGAACCCGGGACGCCACAGGCAAAGUACCGCCUCUCAGUUGGGAGGGAUGCAAAUAGGGUAUUGAAAUCAUUACCCACAUGAUCAUUAAAGAAGACUUGAAAUUCGGGCAUCUCAGAUUUGAGACCUUGUGCCAGGUACUUCCUUUCUACAGCUUCCACUAUAUGUUGCAUUGCUAUGAAGGUAUUUGGCCCAACUGAACAUCCCAAAUCUGCAAGACGAAACGGGUUUGAAGAGAAGCACAUUACAUCAAGCUUCUUAGCAAUUGCCUCUUCAAUCAUAGUUCUCGACACAUUAAUAUCUUGUCUCUACAAAACAAUAGUCCACCAUUCGCUUUGUUAUUAAUGUCAGGGAUGAUAUUCCCUAAACCAAGCAAUUUUUAAUCACGUAAUAUAAUCCAGGGUGAGCAAAACGGAGAUCCAUGAAAUCUGUAAGAUAGAGAAAAUUUAUGAAGAGGCUGCAACGGCUACAAAAGCAGUUAAAAUACCUGAAAAUGGGAGUUGUUGCGGUAGCUAUGAGGUCCAUCCCCUCCGUUCAUCAGAAAAGAUUGUUGCAUUGUGGCUGCGUCGUCGUUGCUUAUAACUCUCUCUGUCUGUGGAGAGCCUAGGUGAGCCGUGUGCUUUAUUUGAUGGACGCUCUAUAUAGACAUCUCAUAAACAAUGGCCUUCUGACACGUGUACCAAUUUCAGGCCUUUCCUUAGGGUCAAGUCGCCCUUCAUUAUUUACUUGUCCUAGCAUGUGUUUUAUCCUUAUUGACUGGUAUAAAUUUAAAAUGGCCUUCGGACACGUGUACCAAUUUCAUGCCUUUCCUUAGGGUCAAGCCGGCCUUCAUUAUUUACUUGUCCUAGCAUAUGUUUUAUCCUUAUUGACUGGUAUAAAUUUGGUCGGGCAAGUAGUAACUUGACUGGAAAUUGUGAUAUGUGAUAAUAUCCCAGCAUUCAAAAGCACACGGAACAACUUAUUUUAUCUUUAAUAAAAACCAUCUCUUUAUUUAAAAUAACAUCUUUAAUAAAAUUGAUAUUUAUAAAAUAUUAGGACUGCUUGCCUAUUUUUUUUUUUAAUUGGGUCUACAUCUUAAUUAUUAUUAUUUUUUCUUUUCUUUCUUUUUCUUCUUCCCCACUUUUUCCCAUCCCACUCCUUCCCCUCCCCACCCCACCCCACCCCACCCCACCCCACCACCACUUACCUUCAUUUCUAGCCCCCUUUUCCACUUCCUCUGUUUUUUUCCUCUCUCUCUCCCCAUCCCAUCCCACCACCACUUACUUUCAUUUCCAACCCCCUUUUCCUCUCUCUCUCUUUCCCUCUCUCUCUUGGAAUGAGCUUAAAGUCAGAUAUCUUAAAAUAACAUCUUUAAUAAAAUUGAUAUUUAUAAAAUAUUAGGACUGCUUACCUAUUUUUUUUUUUAAUUGGGUCUACAUCUUAAUUAUUAUUAUUUUUUCUUUUCUUUCUUUUUCUUCUUCCCCACUUUUUCCCAUCCCACCCCACCCCACCCCACCCCACCACACCACCACUUACCUUCAUUUCUAGCCCCCUUUUCCACUUCCUCUGUUUUUUUCCUCUCUCUCUCCCCAUCCCAUCCCACCACCACUUACUUUCAUUUCCAACCCCCUUUUCCUCUCUCUCUCUUUCCCUCUCUCUCUUGGAAUGAGCUUAAAGUCAGAUAUCUCAAGAGUGAUGGAGCAAGGGUUUUCCAACUUGAGAAAUCUUUGAGUUGCAUCAAUUAAGGUGCUUUGUCUAUUAUUGAAUAUUUCAGUUCCUUUAAGACCCUUUGGGAUGAGUACAUUAGCUAUAGGCCAUUUCCAACAUGCGCUUGUGGCAAAAUGGCAACAUGCACUUGUGAACUUUUCAACUUUUCAACUUUCUACAAAUCAGACAGCAAUUUGAUUAUGUACUCAAAUUCUUGGUGGGGCUAAAUGAUUCUUAUGCCUCUAUCAGAAGCCAAUUGCUGCUAAUGGUUCCAUUACCAAACAUGUCCAAGGUUUUCUCUCUACUACUUCAAGAAGAAAGUCAGAGGCAACUCACAAAUUCUGCUACAUAUAAUGAGACUCAUGCUUUGAUUGCAAGGCAAUCCAAUCAGGAGAAUUACCAGCCACAAUCUUUCAAGGACAAACCAAAGAAAUUUGCCCUACACUAUACUCAUUGUGGCAAUAAUGGUCACACAAUGGACAAAUGUUUUCAACUUCAUGGUUAUCCCCCUAGCUGGAAUGGACCAAAGGGAAAAAGAAAUAUGGCUUCUGCUUAUGCUACCAUUACUACUCCAGAGGUCCCCAAUCAAAAUAGCAAUGAGCAACAAAAGUUUUGUUUCACUCCAGAGGAAUUUCAUAAACUAAUGGCGCUUGCAAAUUCAGUUCAACCCAAUUCUUCCAAUCAGAAUAAUGUCCAACCAGUUGUUAACCUUGUCACCACCUCUUACUUUUCUGGUAAAGUUCAACCUACACUUAAACCAAUUUUUUUUUUCUUGUACUUCUGUUACUUCUAAGCCAAAUUCCACUUCAUAUUGGCUUCUUGAUACGGGUGCAACAGACCAUAUGAUUUGUUCACCACUUUUAUACCAUUUAUACCUAAACCAAUUAAUGCAUCCAUCAAUCUUCCUAAUGGUACUACAGUUCCAACCACAUACAUUGGUACUGUAUGUCUCUCAGAUUCCUUAUUUUUACAUAAUGUCUUGUGUGUUCCUCAUUUUUCAUUCAAUCUAUUAUCCGUUUCCAAACUCACUAAACAAUCUAAUCUUUUUCUUACCUUUACUGCUUCUCAUUGCCUUUUACAGGACCAGUCAAUGGAGAAGAUGAUUAGGAUUGCUCUUGAAAAAGAAGGACUUUACCAUCUGAUUCCAGCUUCAUCACAAGCUAAAAUCUGUAAUUCAUUUCAGUUUAAUUAUGCUCAUCUUGCUUUGUCCUCUAUUCACAAACACUUAGAUAUAUGGCAUUGUAGAUUAGAACAUGUAUCUAGUUCAAGAUUCCAUUCCCUCAAACAGAUUGACUUUGCUAUCACUAUUGAUCAUACAAAUGUUUGUGACAUAUGUCCUUUAGCAAAGCAAAGAAGGCUUCCUUUUUUUUGUAUCACAAAAUAAUUCUAAUAAAAGUUUUGUGAUCGCUCAGAUUUUGUCGUUUAUUGGAUCAAAACAAAAUUUAUAACCUAAUUCAUUAUUCUAUGGCAAUUUGUACCCGAUCAAAAAUGUGGUUUUAGUACAAACUACUGUAGUAUAGUGGUAUUUAGGUAUCGUCCACAAGAAUGGAUUAUUCUCGGUAAUUAAGGCUUGAACGAGAUGAUAAGAAAUGAUGGUGAUCAAGUGAAAUUUACUUGAAAUUGCAUGAUAAAAUCUCUAGAUAGCAAUGUAUUCAAAUUGAAUUGAAAAUGAAGUGUAAAAGAGAAGAAAAUUAAUAAGAUGUGAGAUUCUCGGAGUUAGGAUUUUCUAGAGAGCAAUUUCCAUGGUGAAUAGGUGUUAAGAUCAAAUUUUCAUCAAGUUAGAUUGAAAACCUAAAUUUUCAUCUAAACCGAUUUUUGAUUUAGCUUUAGAUCUAGAUCUAAUUUCUCUUCAAAUUAGGUAAUCUAAUCCAAGAGAUCAAUUUGAAUCAUAUAUUCAAUUCAUCUUAAAUUAUCUUCCAAUGAUUCAUACUAUGCAACUAUUCAAUUUCAUCAAAUCUAGCAUUAAGAAUUUGAUGAAUCUACCUAGCUUGCAUUGUAGUAGUCAUCCAAGACAAUUUGAAGAGAAAAAUCCCCAAAUUUCAAUUAAUCAAUCAAUUGGAUCAAAUUACCUAUGCAAUUCAAGCUCAAUUCUCUAAUUCACCAUAGAUCUUGCUUCUAGAUCCUCCGUCCUCCAAGAAAAAACGAGAUUUAGCCACUCAUGCUUGGAGAUUUGAUCUCACAAGACAUGUUUGACUACCGAGAAAAUAAGAGAAACUGAAGGAAAGUGGAGAAUUAUAUAGAGAGAAGAAGUAUGAAAAGUUCUACAAUUAGAAAAUGAAUCAAAAAGUCCCUAAAUGAGUCAAUCCCGUUUCUAUUUAUAGGCCCAGGUUAAAAGGACACUUGGCAACAUUUUAGAGGUCUUCCGGAUGCUUCUUCAUCAAGGAAUCUGGAGAAAAUGCAUUUUCGCACGAGCCCCUAGAAAUCUCGCAUGAUGGUGUGAAGUGGAGAAUCCAUCAGCUUCAAUUUCGUUCUUCUGGAGCGUUUCGCAUGACUGUGUGAAAAUUUCGCAUGGUCAUGCGAAAUCACUUUUUCACAAUUUCCUUAUGUGCUACAGCCACAACCUUUCUGUUUCAUUUCGCAUGGUCAUGCAAAAUCGAAAAUCAUGCUAUUCCGGAUCCUCUUUGCAAUUUUUCUCAUUUCUUCAUGUUUAAUCCAUCUCCACCACCUUCAAUUAAGCUCCAAAGCUUGGUCCAAGUGCAUUUCCUCUUCCUCUUCAUCUACAUUAUGUACCCUCCUCCAUUCCAUUUCCAUUUGUCACUCCAUGCUUCAAAUAUCACCUUAAAAUAUCUCCAAAACACAACAAAGAACCAUUAGUAUCUCUUGGAAGGGUAGCAAUGUAUUACUUGGGCAUAUUAGGCAUAAUUACUACUCAAAAUGUGUGAAACUCAUGAAAGUUAGUAUCUAAAAUGUGUGGUUUUUGAGUAGUAAUCAUUUUGAUUUGAUCCAUUGUGAUAUAUGGGGUCCUUUUGGCACUACUUCUUAUUCUGGUUUUCGAUAUUUUUUUAACAAUAGCCGAUGACUACACAAGGUGUACUUGGGUAUACAUGAUUAAAGCUAAAUCAGAAGUGCCAUCUUUAAUCAAAACUUUCUGUAAUGGUAGCAAACCAAUUUUCUUCUUCUGUUAAAGCUAUAAGGUCUGAUAAUGGACCAAAAUUCUUACUCACAAAAUUCUAUCAUAAAUAUGGUAUUUUGCAUUAGAGAAGUUGUGUCGAAACUCCUCAACAAAAUGGUGUUGUGGAGAGAAAACUUCAACAUCUACUAAGCACUGCUAGAGCCUUAAUGUUUCAAGCAAAUCUACCAUUAAUUUUUUGGAGUGACUGUGUGCUUACUGCUGCCCACAUAAUCAAUAGAAUUCCCACUCCUCUACUUCAAAAUAAAACCCCUUUUGAAAUGUUUUUUAACAAAACACCUAACCUUUCUCAUUUAAGAGUUUUUGGCUGUCUUUGUUUUGCAUCCACUUUAACUAGUCACAGACAAAAAUUUGAUUCACGAGCCACAAAGUGCAUCUUCCUAGGAUAUCCUUAUGAUAUUAAGGGUUAUAAACUCAUGGAUCUAAACAACAAUAAGAUCCUUGUUUCUCGGAAUGUCAUAUUCCAUGAAACAUUUUUUCCUUUCCAAGUGUUGCCCCAACAUCUUGAAACUCAUUCAUUUAUGUUUCCUCUUUCACAAUCAUUUUCAGAUUCACCUUCUACCACCCCCUUCUUCAAUUCCUAUCAUAAUGUGUGACCUGCAUCACCACCUAAUAAUUCUCCUUUUCUCUCUGAACCUUUUGCCCUUCUUGAAUCCGACUCACCUACAUGUCCCUCUCCAUCCCAUCUGGAUUCAACUGACCCUGAAGUCCUACAGCUCAGAAAAUCAACCAGAAUUAAACAAAAACCUUCAUAUCUGCAGGACUAUUAUUAUGGUAAUGUCUCUUCUUCUCAAACUGCAACUCAGACAUCUACUUCAACUAACUGGUCUCCCAUUAAAGGUAAUUUCUAUUCUCUUCACCCUUUUCUUUCUACUAGUAGACUGUCUACGUCCCAUAAAACUUUUCUCACCUUUAUCACAAACUCUCCAGAACCCAAAUCAUACACCCAAGCUUCUCGCCUCCUUGAAUGGCAAGCUGUCAUGCAACAUGAACUUACUGCUUUGGAGUUAAAUAAAACUUAGGAACUUGUUACUCUUCCUAAAAAUAAAAGGACUAUUGGUUGUAAAUGGGUAUUCAAAGUGAAAUAUAAAGCUGAUGGAACUAUAGAAAGACAUAAAGCUAGAUUGGUGGCAAAAGGGUAUACUAAGCAAGAAUGCCUCGAUUUAUUUGAUACUUUCUCUCAUGUGGCCAAGAUUACAUCCAUUCGCUUACUACUUGCUGUGGCUACCGUCAAACAGUGGCAUCUUCAUCAACUAAAUGUCAAUAAUGCAUUUUUGCAUGGUGAUUUACAUGAAGAGGUAUACAUGGAAUUGCCUCCUGGGUUGGCUGUCCAAGGUGAACAGAAAGUUUGUCGUCUUUUAAAGAGCCUUUAUGGCUUGAAGCAAGCUUCCAGGCAAUGGUAUGCCAAACUAUCCCAGGCCCUUCUUUCCUAUGGAUUUGUUCAAGGUAACUCUGAUUGUUCUCUAUUCAUUAAGAAAUCUGAAAGUUCUUUUAUGGCCUUAUUAGUCUAUGUGGAUGAUGUGCUAUUGGCAAGUGAUAGCAUUCUGGAAAUUGAAAGGUUGAAGACCUUUUUAGAUGCCAAGUUCACUAUUAAAGACUUAGGCCCACUGAAAUACUUUCUUGGCUUGGAAGUUGCAAGGUCCAAGACUAGUAUCUUCUUAUGCCAACGAAACUAUAUACUUGACAUACUUGAAGACACUGGUUUAACUAGAUCCAAACCUAUUGCCUUCCCUAUGGAAUCUACCCUCAAGUUAUCAGCAAAUGAUACCAAUUUCUAUGAAGAUCCAUCAGGUUACCGAAGACUCAUUGGCAGAUUAUUUUACUUAACUCUCACUAAGCCCGACUUAGCCUAUUCUGUAAAAGUACUCAGCCAAUUUUUAGCAAAACCUGCUGUUAGUCACCAUCAAGCAGGCAUUCGAGUACUGAGGUAUCUAAAGGCCAUACUAGGGCAAGGUCUCUUUUUUCUUUCUUUCUCAGAUUUUCAAUUAAAGGGUUUUUCCUAUAGUGAUUGGGCAGGCUGUGUCGAUACUAGAAGAAGUGUCACUGGUUUUGCAAUUUUUCUUGGCAACUCAUUGAUUUCAUGGAAAUCAAAGAAACAAGUUACAGUUAGUCGAUCCUCUACAGAGGUAGAGUACCAAGCCCUUGCAACUGCCACCUGUGAAAUUCAAUGGCUUUUUAAUGCCUUGCAAGACCUGGAUAUCAAACAUUCACAGUCAGCUUUGCUAUAUACUGACAGUAAAUCAACAAUGCCCAUCACCACAAAUCCAGUUCAACAUGAGAGAACAAAACAUAUCUAGAUUGAUUGCCAUCUUAUUCGCGAAAAAUUGCAGCAGCAUGUUAUAAAGCUCUUCCAUAUUCCAUUGCGAUUAUAGCUUGCAGAUAUCUUUACAAAGCCUCUCGGUUCUCUACCUUUUCAUCAUACUCUUUGCAAGAUGAACAUCAUUAACAUCCAUGUUCAUCUUGAGGGGGGGUGUUGGAGUGUUACAUCUCAUAUUGAAAGCAUGGAAUUAAAAAGGAAAGAAGACUUAAAAUAGAAAGCAAGUUAGAUGAGAAGAGUUAGUUAGAAGAGUUGUUAUUUCAAAUUAUUCUUUACUUUGUUAUUGUGUCAUUGAUGUAUUAUAAAUAGGACUCAAGUCUGAUGUAGUUUUUAAAUUUUUUCAGUUUCUGCAAUUCAUUUUCCUUUGCGUCCUCUAUUUCUUGGUGUUUUUCAUCAGUUUCAAAUUCUUCUGAUUCUCAACAACAAUUAUUGUAAAUAUAUAGAGUUGAUACCCAAAUCUGGGUCAUUAUUUAUGAUCCACUGGAUCUUCACGACAAUAUAUAUUGAUAUCCUGAAACUAGUCUCAGAGAAGGGACUCAGAAAACUAGCAGGAAAAGUAGUUUAUGAUCAUCUUCAAACAGUAUCAUUUACGCCUCAGAACAACAAACAAUAGAAUUCCUUCUUUGUUGCCUGAUUCCAGCUGGUGGGAGGACUCCAUAAUUUUCUUGGAAAAACUAUCAAACAGUUGAUCAAUAAUCCCACUUCCAAAAUGUUGGGCAAAAAUUCCCUCCAAGCCAGCUCUAAGGUACAUUGCAUAUUCCUUUCCAUUGAUCGGGCCAACAAGUUUUGAUCUAGAGUUCACUAACUCCAUUCUCUCAAUGGUUAAACACUCAUUUCUUUCCACCAGCUCUGUCAUUUGCUCGGGAGAGGCCAGAUGAAUAGGCAAGUUGAAGGAAUCCACUUGAGCUUCACUAAUUAAUCCCUGCAUUCAACAUUGGCAAUUUUGGCAUCAUCUCUUGAAUUUGAUUCGGGCUUGUCUGUAAAACAACAUAAAACUACCAGACAAGCAAAAAUUCAACAAUUAUAAUUAUAGUUUGUUUUUUUCCCCUCUCUGCCCUAAUACUGGGCUUCAUGUAUGAGGUUCCAUGAGGGUAUAUUGGUCAUUUUACAUGAUUAGCCUAGCGUUUCCUACGACCCAACCUGAAUUGGGCCAUGGGAUGAGCAUAUGCCUAGGGUAAGUGUGCCAGGCUCCCUCAGCCCCAACAAAAAAUUUCCCUGUUUUAUUUCCAAAAUAUACUAAUAUUUCCCAAGUUCCACAUUAAUUUUCUAUGCGGAAUGUUACUUAGCUAUGAUCAGAGCCCUCUCAACUAUUAGAUGUUAAAUUCACUUUUCUAAUUCCAAAAUAGAAUAUCAUCCGCCUUACCUCCUUGGCCAUGUCCAUGAGGCAUGAUCCCAGAAGAUCGAACAUAAUACCAUAUGGGUUUUGAGAAGCAGGGAUCCCAUUUGGGAGAGCUAGAAUGAGAAACACUAUCAUCCCUCCAACCACAAGUUCCUUAGCUCUGGCACUCAGAAAGAUCUCCAUGUCAUGCUCAAAUUGAGCUGCAUAAGCAUGGCUUACUUCUUCUGGGCCACUUGUGUAGUGAAUCCUUCCCCUGUUCCAUGCAGGGGAGUUUUUGUCCAACAACUCUUCAGGCACCUUUGAGAGCCAGUGGAGUGCAUGAGAGGAAAACAUGAAAUGGAUAGAUGACUCCGGGAAUAACCGGCCAUGGAAAGAACCCGGGACGCCACAGGCAAAGUACCGCCUCUCAGUUGGGAGGGAUGCAAAUAGGGUAUUGAAAUCAUUACCCACAUGAUCAUUAAAGAAGACUUGAAAUUCGGGCAUCUCAGAUUUGAGACCUUGCACCAGGUACCUCCUUUCUACAGCUUCCACUAUAUGUUGCAUUGCUAUGAAGGUAUUUGGCCCAACUGAACAUCCCAAAUUUGCAAGACGAAACGGGUUUGAAGAGAAGCACUUUACAUCAAGCUUCUUAGCAAUUGCCUCUUCAAUCAUAGUUCUCGACACAUUCAUAUCUUGUCUCUACAACACAAUAGUCCACCAUUCGCUUUGUUAUUAAUGUCAGGGAUGAUAUUCCCUAAACCAAGCAAUUUUUAAUCACGUAAUAUAAUCCAGGGUGAGCAAAACGGAGAUCCAUGAAAUCUGUAAGAUAGAGAAAAUUUAUGAAGAGACUGCAACGGCUACAAAAGUAGUUAAAAUACCUGAAAAUGGGAGUUGUUGCGGUAGCUAUGAGGUCCAUCCCCUCCGUUCAUCGGAAAAGAUUGUUGCAUUGUGGCUGCGUCGUUGUUGCUUAUAACUCUCUGUGUCUGUGGAGAGCCUAGGUGAGCCGUGUGCUUUAUGCCUUUAUUUGAUGGACGCUCUAUAUAGACAUCUCAUAAACAAUGGCCUUCUGACACGUGUACCAAUUUCAUGCCUUUCCUUAUCCUUGUUGACUGGUAUAAAUUUUGUCGGGCAAGUAGUGACUUGACUGGAAAUUGAGACUUUUUUUAAUACGGUAAUUUAAAAAAGUUAUGUUUAAAUUUUUAUAGUAAAAGAAGUUUUUAUAAAUAUAUAGUAUUUUUUCCCCCCUAGAAGAUAGGAGAUAGGAGAGAGAGAGGGUGAACGGAUAAAUUUUUUUUUAAACCAAAAUCUUUUUUUCAAAAGACGAUUUAAAAAAAUUUGAAAUUUUUUUUUCAAGAGACGAGUUCCAUGAAAAUAUAUAUAUAUAUAUAUAUAUAUUUAAAAAAAUUCCCAAAAAAAAAAAAAAAAAACAAUUCCUCAAGGGAUGAAGAGACGAGUUCCAUGAAAAUAUAUAUAUAUAUAUAUAUAUAUAUAUAUAUAUAUAUAUAUAUAUAUAUAUUUAAAAAUUCCUAAAUUUAAAAAAAAAAAAAAAAAAAAAACAAUUCCUCAAGGAACUCGUCUCUUGAAAAGACAAGUUCCCAUGGAAAAAAAAUAAUUUUUAAAAAAUAUAUAUAUAUAUAUAUAUAUUUUUAAAAAAAAUUCCCAAAUUAAAAAAAAAAAUUCCUCAAGGAACUCUUCUUUUCAAGAGACGAGUUCCAUGGAAAAAAAAAAUUCCCAAAUUAUUAAAAAAAGAAAAAAAGAAAAACCAAUUCCUCAAGAGACGAGUUCCCAUUAAAAAAAUAUAUUUUUUUUAUUUAAAUUCCUAAAUUAAAAAAAAAAUUCCUCAAGGGACCUCGUCUCUUCAAUAGACGAGUUCCAUGAAAUAUAUAUCUAUAUUAAAAAAUUCCCAAAUUAUUAAAAAAAAAAAAAAAAACAAUUCCUCAAGGAAACUCGUCUCUUUAAGAGACGAGUUCCCUUGAGGAAUUGUUUUUUUUUUUUUUUUAAAUAUAAUUUGGGAAUUUUAAAAAAAAAAAAUAUAUAUAUAUAUAUAUAUAUAUAUAUAUAUAUAUAUUUUUUUUUUUUUAAGAAACGAGUCCUCUUGAGGAAUUUUUUUUUUUUUUUUUUAAUAAUUUGGGAAUUUAAAAAAAAAAAUUCAUGGGAACUCGUCUCUUCAAGAGACGAGUUCCCUUGAGGAAUUUUUUUUUAAUUUUUAAUUUUUUUAUAAUUUGGGAAUUUUUUUAAAAAAAUAUAUUUUUUUUCAUGGGAACUCGUCUCUUGAGGAAUUGUUUUUUUUUUUUUUUUUUUAAAUUUGGGAAUUAUUUAAAAAAAAUGUUUUUUUUUUCAUGAGAACUCGUCUCUUGAAGAGACGAGUUCCCUUGAGGAUUUUUUUUUUUUUUUUAUAUAAUUUGGGAAUUUUGUUAAAAAAAAAAUAUAUUUUUUUAAUGGGAACUCGUCUUUUCAAGAGACGAGUUCCCUUGAGGAAUUUUUUAUUUUUUUAUUUUUUUAAUAAUUUGAGGAUUUUUUUUUUUUAAUUUGAAAAUUUUUUUUCAUGGGAACUCGUCUCUUAAAGAGACAAUUUCCCUUUUGAAUUUUUUUUUAAAAUCGUCUUUUGAAAAGACGAUUUCGUCUUUUGAAAUUUGAAAAGAUGAUUUUGGUUUAAAAAAAAAAUUAUUCGUUCACCCUCUCUCCUCUCUCAUUUCUCCUAAGUGGCAAAAACUACCAUAUAUUUAUAAUAACUUCUUCUACUACAAUAAUUUAAGCAUAACUUUUUUAAAUUACCGCACUAUUGAGAAAAGUCCCUAAAAAUUGUGAUAUGUGAUAAUAUCCCAGCAUUCAAAAGCACAUGGAACAACUUAUUUUAUCUUUAAUAAAAACCAUCUCUUUAUUUAAAAUAACAUCUUUAAUAAAAUUGAUAUUUAUAAAAUAUUAGGACUGCUUGCUUUUUUUUUUUUUAAUUGGGUCUACAUCUUAAUUAUUAUUAUUAUUUUUUCUUUUCUUUCUUUUUCUUUUUCCCCUCUUUUUCCCUUCCUACUCCACCCACUCCCCCAUCCCACCCCACCCCACCACCACCCACCUUCAUUUCCAGCCCCUUUUUCCACUUCCUCGGUUUUUUUUCCUCUCUCUUUCCCCAUCCCAUUCCACCACCACUUACUUUCAUUUCCAGCCUCCUUUUCCACUUCCUCGGUUUUUUUUCCUUUCUCUCUCUCUCAACCAUGGAAAAUCAUCAUCUCCAUCCUAGGGUUACAGAAUAGAUAAGUUUUUUUUUCUCUUUUUUUCUUUAAUUUCUAUCGUAAUUGUUUUUUGGAUUUGGACUUGAUUGCAUGCAUAUUAAAUUGAGCUCGAUUUUUGUUGUGGAAUUGGUUUGAGCAUUAAAUUGGAUUUGGAUUAUGAGAUAUUAAAUUGAGGUUUAAUUGAAUUUAUCUUAAUUUGUUACAUUUGAUCUUGAUUAAAUGUGCUUGAAUAUUAGUUAUUAAUUUGUAUAUGGAAUAUUUAUGUUGGACUGUAUUUACUAAUUUGAAUUUAUUCUUAUUCAUAAAAUUUAUUGGACUCGUUUAAAAUGAUUGCUAAAAUAAGUGAUGAUUCAACUUUUUUAAAAAAAAUUAAUUUUUCAUCAAUAAAAGCGAGUUUCUCUAUUCAAAUAAGGACAUAUGUGAAAAAUACGGGUACACAUAUUAAUAGCAUUUUACUUAAAAUGAAUAUUGAAUAAAAAUCGUUAAAUCCAUUAAUAAAUUCAAUACAAAGUGUUGUUUGAUUUGAGAUUCAUUUAUUAAGUAAGAAAUUUUAUUAAAAUAUAAUUAUGCGUAGAAAAGAAUAUUAGACUCAUUGCAAACCAAUUGUUAUUCAUAGAUUUUCUAGUAUUAAUGAUUUCACUAUUUAAGUUUUAAAUUAUUUUUAAAAAUCAUUAAACUCAUUAAUGAAUUUAAUGCACUAAGUCUUAAUUAAUUUGGAAUUCAUUUAUUAGUGAAAAAAAACAUGGUUCUAUGUAGAAGAGAAAUAAUAGUAGUUAUAGUAUUUAUUAUAUUAAUAUUUGACUUUUAAGUUAUUUUUAAAAUUUACUAAACUCGGUCCAAUGCAUUAAAUUUUGCUUGAUUUGAAGUUUAUUAGUCUAGUGAAAAUUUUUGUAAAAGUAUGAUAUAUGUUAUGAAGAAACUAGUCAAGUCAUUCAAAAUAAAUUUUGGUCUAUGAACUUUCUAAUGUUAUAAAGUUUUAUAAUUUUCUAGUACUAAUUAGAUCAGUUUUUUAUUUUCAAAUUAUUUUUAAAAAUUAAUAAAUUGUAUAUAUCAAAUUAAUGAAUUUUAUAUAUCAAAUAUAGUUUGAUUUGAAAUUUAUUUGUUAAAUGAAAGGUUUUAUAUAAGUUAAAAGAAAUUCGAAAAACAUGAAUAAUUUAAAAGAAAUUAUAUUUCAUGGAGAGAGAAAAAGAAUGAUAUCAUUAUUCAAUUUUAUUUGUUUUCUAUAUUUUUUUUUAUUAUUUCUCUGUAUUUUCCUUUUGGUUUUAAUAAUGAUUACUUAUUUUCUUAAAAAUGUUCUUUAUUUCAUUUUUUUUAAAGAUCUAAAGCAAAAAACAAAAACAAAUAGUGUUAUAAAUUUUAAAAAUAAUAUUCUAUUUUUAAAAAUAGAAAAUUAUUUUUAAUCAUAUGGUAAAAUAGGCUCUUAAGUUUUUAAAGUUAUCUUUUGAAAAACCAAUUUUCAUAUAAAUUAUUUAUGUUUCAAUACUAUUAAUUUUUUUGUUUCAAAAAUCAGUUUAUCUUUGGUAAAUCAUAUCUUGAUAAAAAUAAAUUAAUUAAAUAAUUUAGAAAUCUACAACUCAAAAAAUAAAGGUUAAUAUUUAAGAAAGUUGGUUUUUGAGAUAACACUUUCAAUGAAAAUCAAGUAUUCAUAAAAAAUAAAAAAUUAAAACUUUAAAAAGCUUAUUUUUUUUACUACAAACCUUUUUUUUGUAUCACAGAAUAAUUCUAAUAAAAGUUUUGAUUUGAUCCAUUGUGAUAUAUGGGGUCCUUUUGGCACUACUUCUUAUUCUGGUUUUCGAUAUUUUUUUAACUAUAGUCGAUGACUUCACAAGGUGUACUUGGGUAUACAUGAUUAAAGCUAAAUCAGAAGUGUCAUCUUUAAUCAAAACUUUCUGUAAAAUGGUAGCAAACCAAUUUUCUUCUUCUGUUAAAGCUAUAAGGUAUGAUAAUGGACCAAAAUUCUUACUCACAAAAUUCUAUCAUAAAUAUGGUAUUUUGCAUCAGAGAAGUUGUGUCGAAACUCCUAAAAAAAAUGGUGUUGUGGAGAGAAAACAUCAACAUCUACUAAGCACUCCUAGAGCCUUAAUGUUUCAAGAAAAUCUACCAUUAAUUUUUUGGAGUGACUGUGUGCUUACUGCUGCCCACAUAAUCAAUAGAAUUCCCACUCCUCUACUUCAAAAUAAAACUCUUUUUGAAAUGCUUUUUAACAAAACACCUAACCUUUCUCAUUUAAGAGUUUUUGGCUGUCUUUGUUUUGCAUCCACUUUAACUAGUCACAGACAAAAAUUUGAUUCACGAGCCACAAAGUGCAUCUUCCUAGGAUAUCCUUCUGAUAUUAAGGGUUAUAAACUCAUGGAUCUAAACAACAAUAAGAUCCUUGUUUCUCGGAAUGUCAUAUUCCAUGAAACAAUUUUUCCUUUCCAAGUGUUGCCCCAACAUCUUGAAACUCAUUCCUUUAUGUUUCCUCUUUCACAAUCAUUUUCAAAUUCACCUUCUACCACCUCCUUCUUCAAUUCCUAUCACAAUGUGUGACCUGCAUCACCACCUAAUAAUUCUCCUUCUCUCUCUGAACCUCCUGCCCUUCUUGAAUCCGACUCACCUACAUGUCCCUCUCCAUCCCAUCUGGAUUCAACUGACCCUGAAGUCCUAUAGCUCAUAAAAUCAACCAGAAUUAAACAAAAACCUUCAUAUCUGCAGGACUAUUAUUGUGGUAAUGUCUCUUCUUCUCAAAAUGCAACUCAGGCAUCUACUUCAACUAACUGUUCUCCCAUUAAAGGUAAUUUCUAUUCUCUUCACCCUUUUCUUUCUGCUAAUAGACUGUCUACAUCCCAUAAAGCUUUUCUCACCUUUGUCACAAACUCUCUAGAACCCAAAUCAUACACCCAAGCUUCUCGCCUCCUUGAAUGGCAAGCUGCCAUGCAACAUGAACUUACUGCUUUGGAGUUAAAUAAAACUUAGGAACUUGUUACUCUUCCUAAAAAUAAAAGGACUAUUGGUUGUAAAUGGGUAUUCAAAGUGAAAUAUAAAGCUAAUGGAACUAUAGAAAGACAUAAAGCUAGAUUGGUGGCAAAAGGGUAUACUCAGCAAGAAUGCCUCGAUUUAUUUGAUACUUUCUCUCAUGUGGCCAAGAUUACAUCCAUUCGCUUACUACUUGCUGUGGCUACCGUCAAACAGUGGCAUCUUCAUCAACUAAAUGUCAAUAAUGCAUUUUUGCAUGGUGAUUUACAUGAAGAGGUAUACAUGGAAUUGCCUCCUGGGUUGGCUGUCCAAGGUGAACAGAAAGUUUGUCGUCUUUUAAAGAGCCUCUAUGGCUUGAAGCAAGCUUCCAGGCAAUGGUAUGCCAAACUAUCUCAGGCCCUUCUUUCCUAUGGAUUUGUUCAAGGUAAUUCUGAUUGUUCUCUAUUCAUUAAGAAAUCUGAAAGUUCUUUUAUGGCCUUAUUAGUCUAUGUGGAUGAUGUGCUAUUGGCAAGUGAUAGCAUUCUGGAAAUUGAAAGGUGAAGACCUUUUUAGAUGCCAAGUUCACUAUUAAAGACUUAGGCCCACUGAAAUACUUUCUUGGCUUGGAAGUUGCAAGGUCCAAGACUAGUAUCUUCUUAUGCCAACGAAACUAUAUACUUGACAUACUUGAAGACACUGGUUUAACUAGAUCCAAACCUAUUGCCUUCCCUAUGGAAUCUACCCUCAAGUUAUCAGCAAAUGAUACCAAUUUCUAUGAAGAUCCAUCAGGUUACCGAAGACUCAUUGGCAGAUUAUUUUACUUAACUCUCACUAAGCCCGACUUAGCCUAUUCUGUAAAAGUACUCAGCCAAUUUUUAGCAAAACCUGCUGUUAGUCACCAUCAAGCAGGCAUUCGAGUACUGAGGUAUCUAAAGGCCAUACUAGGGCAAGGUCUCUUUUUUCUUUCUUUCUCAGAUUUUCAAUUAAAGGGUUUUUCCUAUAGUGAUUGGGCAGGCUAUGUCAAUACUAGAAGGAGUGUCACUGGUUUUGCAAUUUUUCUUGGCAACUCAUUGAUUUCAUGGAAAUCAAAGAAACAAGUUACAGUUAGUUGAUCCUCUGCAGAGGUAGAGUACCAAGCCCUUGCAACUGCCACCUGUGAAAUUCAAUGGCUUUUCAAUGCCUUGCAAGACCUGGAUAUCAAACAUUCACAGUCAGUUUUGCUAUAUACUGACAGUAAAUCAGUAAUGCCCAUCGCCACAAAUCCAGUUCAGCAUGAGAGAACAAAACAUAUCUAGAUUGAUUGCCAUCUUAUUCGCGAAAAAUUGCAGCAGCAUGUUAUAAAGCUCUUCCAUAUUCCAUUGCGAUUAUAGCUCGCAAAUAUCUUUACAAAGCCUCUCGAUUCUCUACCUUUUCAUCAUACUCUUCGCAAGAUGAACAUCAUUAACAUCCAUGUUCAUCUUGAGGGGGGGUGUUGGAGUGUUACAUCUCAUAUUGAAAGCAUGGAAUUAAAAAGGAAAGAAGACUUAAAAUAGAAAGCAAGUUAGAUGAGAAGAGUUAGUUAGAAGAGUUGUUAUUUCAGUUUAUUCUUUACUUUGUUAUUGUGUCAUUGAUGUAUUAUAAAUAGGACUCAAGUCUGAUGUAGUUUUUAAAUUUUUUCAGUUUUUGCAAUUCAUUUUCCUUUGCGUCCUCUGUUUCUUAGUGUUUUUCAUCAGUUUCAAAUUCUUCUGAUUCUCAACAACAAUUAUUGUAAAUAUAUAGAGUUGAUACCCAAAUCUGGGUCAUUAUUUAUGAUCCACUGGAUCUUCACGACAAUAUAUAUUGAUAUCCUGAAACUAGUCUUAGAGAAGGGACUCAGAAAACUAGCAGGAAAAGUAGUUUAUGAUCAUCUUCAAACAGUAUCAUUUACGCCUCAGAACAACAAACAAUAGAUUUCCUUCUUUGUUGCCUGAUUCCAGCUUGUGGGAGGACUCCAUAAUUUUCUUGGAAAGCCUAUCAAACAGUUGAUCAAUAAUCCCACUUCCAAAAUGUUGGGCAAAAAUUCCCUCCAAGCCAGCUCUAAGGUACAUUGCACAUUCCUUUCCAUUGAUCGGGCCAACAAGUUUUGAUCUAGAGUUCACUAACUCCAUUCUCUCAAUGGUUAAACACUCAUUUCUUUCCACCAGCUCUGUCAUUUGCUCGGGAGAGGCUAGAUGAAUAGGCAAGUUGAAGGAAUCCACUUGAGCUUCACUAAUUAAUCCCUGCAUUCAACAUUGGCAAUUUUGGCAUUAUCUCUUGAAUUCGAUUCGGGUUUGUCUGUAAAACAACAUAAAACUACCAGACAAGCAAAAAUUCAACAACUAUAAUUAUUUUUUGCUUUUUUUCCCCUCUCUACCCUAAUACUGGGCUUCAUGUAUGAGGUUCCAUGAGGGUAUAUUGGUCAUUUUACAUGAUUAGCCUAGCGUUUCCUACAACCCAACCUGAAUUGGGCCAUGGGAUGAGCAUAUGCCUAGGGUAAGUGUGCCAGGCUCCCUCAGCCCCAACAAAAAAUUUCCCUGUUUUAUUUCUAAAAUAUGCUAAUAUUUCCCAAGUUCCACAUUAAUUUUCUAUGCGGAAUGUCACUUAGCUAUGAUCAGAGCCCUCUCAACUAUUAGAUAUUAAAGUCACUUUUCUAAUUCCAAAAUAGAAUUUCAUCCGCCUUACCUCCUUGGCCAUAUCCAUGAGGCUUGAUCCCAAAAGAUCGAACAUAACACCAUAUGGGUUUUGAGAAGCAGGGAUCCCAUUUGGGAGAGCUGGAAUGAGAACCACUAUCAUCCCUCCAACCACAAGUUCCUUAGCUCUGGCACUCAGAAAGAUCUCCAUGUCAUGCUCAAAUUGAGCUGCAUAAGCAUGGCUUACUUCUUCUGGGCCACUUGUGUAGUGAAUCCUUCCCCUGUUCCAUGCAGGGGAGUUUUUGUCCAACAACUCUUCAGGCACCUUUGAGAGCCAGUGGAGUGCAUGAGAGGAAAACAUGAAAUGGAUAGAUGACUCCGGGAAUAACCGGCCAUGGAAAGAACCCGGGACGCCACAGGCAAAGUACCGCCUCUCAGUUGGGAGGGAUGCAAAUAGGGUAUUGAAAUCAUUACCCACAUGAUCAUUAAAGAAGACUUGAAAUUCAGGCAUCUCAGAUUUGAGACCUUGCGCCAGGUACCUCCUUUCUACAGCUUCCACUAUAUGUUGCAUUGCUAUGAAGGUAUUUGGCCCAACUGAACAUCCCAAAUCUGCAAGACGAAACGGGUUUGAAGAGAAGCACUUUACAUCAAGCUUCUUAGCAAUUGCCUCUUCAAUCAUAGUUCUCGACACAUUCAUAUCUUGUCUCUACAACACAAUAGUCCACCAUUCGCUUUGUUAUUAAUGUCAGGGAUGAUAUUCCCUAAACCAAGCAAUUUUUAAUCACGUAAUAUAAUCCAGGGUGAGCAAAACGGAGAUCCAUGAAAUCUGUAAGAUAGAGAAAAUUUAUGAAGAGACUGCAACGGCUACAAAAGCAGUUAAAAUACCUGAAAAUGGGAGUUGUUGCGGUAGCUAUGAGGUCCAUC
This 22347-nucleotide long non-coding RNA is filed under the name Vitis vinifera (wine grape). RNAcentral's name for it is "long non-coding RNA (VVIN_LNC000090)". Lineage: Eukaryota; Viridiplantae; Streptophyta; Magnoliopsida; Vitales; Vitaceae. The record is from RNAcentral.